GAAAACAUACCGAAAUUUAGACUUAAAAUACCCCUACUAGCACUACCCUUUGCGAACAUGACCUCAGCUUUGCGUUUGCAAAAUACAACAUCCACUGCCUGUGUCAUGACCCAGAACCAUCAUCUGGUCGUGAUGUUUCUUAACUCACUUGCUAGGGAAGCCAAGCAUAAUAAUAACAAUUCAAUAUAAUGAAUUACAAAAUAAUACAAGUCUAAAAGCCAAUACCAUAAAUAAAACUGAAUUAUUACAAUAAAUCUCCCAGAACUAGCAAUACAAAGUCAUGAGCUCUACACUAGGAAUACACGUCUAAUAAUAUAUAAAAAUAUUGUUUGGACAAAAACAAUAUUACAUAAAUAGAAAGAGACGUCAAGGACUUGUACAAAGUGCAUCUCUACCUCAUCUCACAUCAACUCAACAACAAUCCAGAAAAGCUCUCAGUUGGGUCCCAUACCUGGAUCAGCACAAUUAAGUGCAGAGUUUAGUAUGAGUAUAACUCACCCCACGUACUCCGUAAGCAGCAUGACUAACUUUGGAGAGGAAGUCGCAAGAAUCAUCAAUGAUACUCACGUUAUAAAAUCUGUACAAGUCAUGAAUACAUACGAAUACAUAGUAACAAUACCAGAAUUUGUCUACAACUGCAAGUAACUCAUGGUGCAUGAUAAGUUGGUAUUUUACCAACUUAUCUCGUCUUUAAACUUAGAUUUUUGCUAUGUUUGAUUCAUAAAAUCAUGUUUGUAAUGCCGUUUACUUCUAUUUUACAGGUUCUAUGUGAUUUAUAAGUGAUCAUGAAAAAACUAAGUGAAAACGAGUCAAAGAGAAGUUGAAAAGAAGAAAUCUGGAAAAUGGCAUCAGAUGUCGCAAUUGCGACAUCAACUUGGCAAAUGCAAAGUCAACCAUUCCAGUCAAUGUUCACAAAUGCAAAAUGAGGGUCGCAAAUGCGAAUUCAAACCAAACAGUCAACUUUCGCAAAUGCGAAGCACUUCAUCGCAAAUGCGAAACUAAGUGCACAGUGCCUAGUUCGCAAUUGCCAACAUACAGAUCGCAAAUGCGAUGUUCAACAAUGAUGUCAAGGUUCGCAAUUGUGAACUUAUAUUCGCAAUUGCAAAUGUCGUGCUUUAAAGUAUGGAUUAAAUACCUUGUUGUGCUUGUGUAUUGAAUGAUUUUUAUUUAUUAUGAACUGAGUUAUUAUUUCGUUAAUUAUUCUUGUUCUUUAAUGUUUCCAAAAGGAUUAGCUAACCCUAAGACUCGCAUAUUCACUUCGAAUUAAUUUUGGGAAAAAUAAUUCGGGGUUGGGAAAGAUUAAUUAACAAGAACUUGAGGCAUUAAUCCUCACUUUAUAGAUUCUACCUAUGAAUAGGAUUGAACUACUUAUAGCCAUAUUCGGGUGUGCCUAAUCUCUUAAUUAUUUUAGCGAUAAUUCAAUUAUGAAGUCUUGUUAGUCUUCGGAAGAAGUUAAUAUAAAAUUAUUACCCGAGGCUAAUUAACAUAAACUCGCUCAUAUUUGUAAAAUCGUGAAAUAUAUUGGAUCGUUACUUGAGUGUAAUUCCAAAUGCAUCCAUGAUUAUCGCCAUUGAUCAUUUUACUUGCUUUCUAGGUUAGUUUAUAUUUUCACAAUUAGUUAUAAAUAUUUUCUCAAUUACCUUUUAAGUGUUUGGCUUAGCAUAACAAGUGAUAAUUCUCUUACACUCCUAAUCGCAUAUAUAUUGUACUCUGUGGGAUUCGACCCCGACUCAUAGUUUUGUAAAUUAUAUUGCAUGUGACCGUGUUCAUUUACUUUUAAGUAGUGGAUUUGGACGUCAUCAAAAUUGGUGUCGUUGCCGUAGAACUAACUCGGGUCACCUGCGUGACAGGCGGGAAUACUUACCACUAUAGAGUAUUCCCGCCUGUCACGCGGGUGACUCGGGUUCGUUCCCCAAAAAUGGCACCAAUUUUGAUGACGUUCAAAUCCACUACUAAAAAUUAAAUGGACACGGUCGCAUGCAAUAUAAUUUGCCCAACUAUGAGUCGGGGACGAAUCCCAUCGAGAACAAUAUGUAGGUGAUUAGGCGUGUAAGAGAAUUAUCACUUUUCUCUCUACUUGGAUGAUAUGAACUGGACACCUAACUUGGAAUCAAGUUUGUAACCAUGAGAGGUUGGAGGUGGUAAGUAGAUGAUCAAGCCAAAUGACAUUUGCUUCAUUUUGCAUUUCUUGGCUUUCAUGUGAGGAAUGUCAGUUUGCCUUCUUGUACUUUCAAAUUGUAAAAUGUAUGGCCUUUGCCUUUCCUCUUCACAAUCCCUCAUUGACUCGUGUAGUUCAAUUCCCAUAUCACCAAACAAUUUCAAUGUUCAGAAAUGCUUGAAAUGUGACAUCAAGCCUCCAAAUUGCAAUUCUAUCCGAAGUUUUCCAUCCUCUUUGUCCCCCGAACUAGAGUCAUUUUCAACCACAUCUUCAAAUUUUUUGGUUGACUCUAAUUCCAUAUUUUUCUUGACAUCAUUAACAAGCAUGGAGUCGGUUAGCGGAUAUUCAAUUCUUGAUUCCUCAAAAUAAAGCUCACUUUCUUCCUCGAAGUUAGACUUUUCUUGACCUCUUUCCACACUCUCAAGUUGGUGGGCAUAGUGAGCCUCAUCCAAUAUCUUCAUUUGAUUUUUCAAGAUGCGGAUAUUAUCAUCAUUUUGAGUUAGUACUUUUUUUAAGUCCUCGAGUGCCAAGUUGUGCUUCUCCUCAUUUUCAAGAAUGGUCUCCAACAUGAGCAUCAUCCUCUCAUUUUGUGCCUUUGAGAGUUCUUAUUGGUUUUGAUCAAGUGCCAAAGAAGGAUUUUCGGCUUCAACCUCUAAGGAAGGUUUUUGGCUAUCAUUCACUUCCGAGGCUUUUUGGACCUCUAAAUCUUCAAGCAUUUCUCUCAUUUGUAAGUUCAACCUUUCAACCGCCAAAUCAUUUUAAACACUAUUCUCCAAAAGCUCCUCUAAGGCAUUUUGCUCUUUGUUUCCUCCUUCAAGUAGGCAUUCCAACAUGAGCUUGAACUCUCCAUUUUGACCAUGCUCAAUUUCUUUCACUUCCAUAUCCCUAUACUUGUUAUCACUAAAAGUAGAAUCAUCAUAGUGGGGUUUCGGGGAAGGGAAGGACAGAUAAGCACAAUUAUCCCAAUGACCAUCUUAACCACCACACUUAUCACAAAUACUCCAUUNNNNNNNNNNNNNNNNNNNNNNNNNAUUACACAAAUAUUCACAAGUUUGGACCAAAGCACGUAUGCUUACUUCUCGAACAAUCUAAGUACGCCAAAUUGUUCCCCGGCAAUGGCGCCAAUUUUGAUGACGUCCAAAUCCACUACUAAAAAGUAAAUGGACACGGUCGCAUGCAAUAUAAUUUACCCAACUAUGAGUCGGGGUCGAAUCCCACAGAGAACAAUAUAUAGGAUAUUAGGCGUGUAAGAGAAUUAUUACUUGUUAUGCUUAGCCAAACACUUAAAAGGUGAUUGAGAAAUUAUUUAUAACUAAUUUUAAAAAUAUAAACUAACCUACAAAGCAAGUAAAAUUAUCAAUGGUGAAAAGCAUGGAUGCAUUGGGAAUUACACUCAAGUAACGAUCCAAUAUAUUUCACGAUUUUACAAAUAUGAGCGAGUUUAUGUUAAUUAGCUUCAGGUAAUAAUUCUAUAUUAGGUUCUUCCGAAGACUAACAAGACUUCAUAAUUGAAUUAUUCCUAAAACAAUUAAGAAUUAAGCACACCCGAAUAUGGCUACAAGUAGUUCAAUCCUAUUCCUAAGUAAAAUCUAUAAAGUGAGGGUUACCGCCUCAAGUUCUUGUUAAUUAAUCUUUUUCAACCCCGAAUUAUUUUUUCCAAAAUUAAUUCGAAGUGAAUGGGCGAGCCCCAGGGUUAUCUAAUCCCUUUGGAAAUAUUAAAGAACAAGUAUAAUUAAAGAAACAAUAACUCACUUCAUAAUAAAUAAAAAUCGUUCAAUGCACAAGCACAACAAGGUAUUUAAUCUAUACUUUAAAUGAGAAUAUUCCCAUAAACAAGAUUUAAAUGCUGGGAAAAAUAAUACACACUUAGAUAUUCAAUACAAAGCAAGGAAAUGAAGAAUUUAAUAUAAAUGGGUAAGAAAUUCUCAACCAAAAGCUUCAAAUUUUCAAGACCCAAGUGUGUGUGCAAGAACCCUAGCUUAAAAAACUGACAAAAGCUGCCCAAGAUGCCAAAGAUAUUUUACAAAUUAGCUAGGACGUGUAUUAAAGGGUUUGGGAUGAAGAAAAUAUGAUAUGACAGAAGUGCCCAAAACUGAAGCACGACAUUCGCAAUUGCGAACCUUGACAUCAUUGUUGAACAUUGCAUUUGCGAUCUGUAUGUUCGCAAUUGCGAACUAGGCACUGUGCACUUAGUUUUGCAUUUGCGAUGAAGGGCUUCGCAUUUGCGAAAGUUGACUGUCUGGUUUGACUUCGCAUUUGUGACCCUCAUUUCGCAUUUGCGAACAAUGACUGGAAUGGUUGACUUCACAUUUGCCAAGUUGAUGUCGCAAUUGCGACAUCUGAGCCUAUUUUCCAGAUUUCUUCUUUUUAACAUAAUUUUUACUCAUUUUCACUUGGUUUCUUCAUAAUCAAUUCUAAAUCACACAGAACCUACAAAAUAGAAGUAAACGACAAUAAACACACGAUUGUAUCACUCAAACAUAGCAAAAAUGUAAGCUUAAAGACUAGAUAAGUUGGUAAAAUACCAACUUAUCAGUGAUCAUGAGCCCCUGCUACGUGAUCGCAAAGCACUGCCAAACAACAGCUGAUCAGCUGCUACAAAACCAAGGGAAAUGGUCUAAAACCAUUCCGAAACUCACCCGAGGCCCCAAGUACCUGUCCAAUCAUUCUAACAAGUCCAUAUAUUUCGUACAAACUUCUCCCAAGGCUCAAAACAUAAAAAAUAACAAUAAAAUCAAGAACUGAAGAUUUAAUCCAUUCCUUAAUUUUCAAACUUUCCAACCUCACCAAACGCGUCUGAAUCAUACUUAGACAUUCCGGAUCACAACCAAACAUUUCACACAAGUUCAUUUAAACGAUUAGGACCUAUGCAAGGUCUCAAAACCACAAUCAAAGCUCAUUAACCCAAAAGUCAACUAUUUGUCAAACUCCUGAACUCUCUAAUUCAUCAAAUUACUAACUUUUGACAAAUAGAGUCAAAAUCCUCUAGGAACAUUCAAAGCCAAAUCCGAACAUAUGCCCACGUCCAAAAUCCAUACAAACCUAUAGGAAUACUCAUAUCCCGAUUUCGAGGUCAUUUAUUCAAACAUUAACCCUUGGAAAACUCUUACAACAUAAGCUUCAAAAAUGGAACUAAUCGUUUUAAAUCACACUCAAACCAUCCUAGAACCAAAUCAACCAUCCUUGCAAGUCACAAAACAUAAAAAGAACUUAUGGUAAAUAUCAAAUAGGGAAAGAAGGCUCUAAUACUCAAAAUGACCAGCCGAAUUGUUACAUUCUCCCAUCUUAAACAAGCAUUCAUCCUUAAUCGGGAUUACAAUCAUGCCAGAACUGCCAAAAAGAUGAGGAUAUCUAUUCUGCGUAUCAUGCUCGGUCUCCCAAGUCGCUUUCUCGAUCGAUUGACCUCUCUAUUAGACCUUCACUGAUGCAAUCUCAUUCGAUCGCAACUAUUGAACCUUCCAAUCUAGAAUGGAUACUGGCUCUUCUUCAUAAGAGAGAUUCUCAUCCAACUGCACUGAACUGAAAUCCAACACAUGCGACAAGUCUUGAUGAUAUUUCCCAAGCAUGGAAUCAUGAAUAUCGAAUGAAUUCCUAACAAACUGGGUGGCAAAGAAAGCUUGUAAGCCACCUCACCAACUAUCUCAAAAACCUCAGUUGGGCCAAUAUACCUAGGGCUCAACUUGCCCCUCUUCCUAACCCACAUCACGCCUUUCAUAGGCAAAAGACUAAGAAGAACCUCUUCACCUUCCAUGAAAUCCACAUCAUAAACCCGCUUAUCAGUAUAACUUUUCUUACUGGACUGAGCUGUGCAUAGUUGCUCCUUAAUCAACUUCACCUUCUGCAAAGAAUCAUAAACCAAAGUAGUACCCAAAAACCUAGCCUCACUAGGCUCAAUAAUAAUAGGUGAACGACAUCGUCUACCAUAUAAAACCUCAUAUGCAGCCAUCUGAAUACUAUACUAGUAGUUGUUAUUAUAAGUAAAAUCCACAAAUGGUGGGAAAUGAUCACAUUGCCUCCAAAAUCAAUAACACAUGAUCUCAACAUAUCCUCCAUAAUCUGAAUAGUCCGUGUAGACUGACAAUCCGUCUGUGUGUGAUAUGUCAUGCUAAGCUCCACCUCUGCAUCCAACAUUCACUGAACAACUCUCCAAAAGUGCGAUUUGAACUGAGUACCCCGAUCCGAAAUGGUAAAAAUAAUGCACACCAUGCAAACAGUCAAUCUCUCAGAUGUAGUAUGAGCCAACUUCUCUGAAGUGUAAGAAGUCAUCACCAUAAUGAAAGGCACAAACUUUGUCAAUCUGUCAACAAUGACCCAAAUGUAAUAAAACUUCCUCAAGGUCUGUGGCCAUCUUACCACAAAGUCCAUAGUGAUGCACUCCUACAUCCACUACGGUAUAUCUAUCUUCUAAAUUAACCCGCCUGAUUUCUAAUACUCAAACUUGACCUGCUAACAGUUUAAACAUCGCAAGACAUGUAUAGUAAUGUCCAUCUUCAUCAUUCGCCACCAAAAAUGCUGCCUCAAAUCAUGAUACAUCUCUGCAGCACCUGAAGGAUUAAAUACCGCAAACUGUAAGCCUAUUCAAGAAUCAACUCCUUCAUUUCAUUUACAUUAGGAACACAAAUUUGACCCUAAAGUCGCAAUACACCAUCAUCUCCAAUGACCGCCUCAUUAGCACCACCUCCGAACACCGUGUCAUUAAGGACAAGUAAAUGGGGAUCAUAAUACUGACGAGCCUUGAUCCUCUCAAAUAUGGAUGGCUGUGAAAAAACACAAGCAAGAACUUUGUUAGGCUCGGAAAAUAAUAAAUCUCAUAAAUCUAUUAACCAAGGCCUGAACAUCCAUAGCAAAAGGCCUCUCCUCAGCUAGAAUAAAUGACAAAACUACCCAUGCUCUAUGCCUUUCUACUCAAGGAAUCUGCUACCAUAUUCGCCUUAUCCCAGAUGAUACAAGAUAAUGAUAUCAUAAUUCGUAAGAGACUUAAGUCACUUCCACCACCUCAAACUAAAAUCCUUCUACUAGAACAAGUGCUAAAGAUUUCGAUGAUAAGUAUAAACCCCGCAUGACACACCAUACAAGUAAUGCCUCUAAAUCGUAAGCGCAUGCAUAAUAACUGCUAAUUCCAAAUCAUAAGCUGGAUAAUUAGUCUUAGAGGGAUUUAACUAUGGUGAUGCAUAAGUAAUCACCCUACCAUCCUGCAUCAACAUUGCACCAAGGCAAAUGCAUGAAGCAUCAGAAUAUACCGUGUAUGCCCUUGAACCUAUGGGCAACACAAAUACUAAGGUUGUAGUCAAAAUAGUCUUGAGCUUCUGAAAGCUCUCCAAACACUCAUUAGACCAUCUAAGAGGAACACAUUUCUAAGUUAACUUGAUCAAUGGGGUAAAACUAGAUGAAAACCCCUCUACAAAACGACGAUAGUAGCCUGCCAAACCCAAGAAACCUCUAAUCUCUAUAACUAUAGAAUGUCUAUGACAUUACUCUUAAAAAUAUCCUCCUCUCGAAGCCUAUGGAUCAAAAUAUGAAAGAAUGGGCAAAGUCUCGAAAUUCCAACUUAUAAAGUCUACCCAGGUACAACUCUUUGUGAUCGCGACAGUACCCUCAUGAUUGAAAUACCAAAUAGCCUCUAGCUCAAGCUAUACUCCUCGAACAUGAAGCCUUCCAUGAGAACGCGUUGACCAAGUUCUCCAAAGACUAAAUGAGCACGAGACUCCCUACGUGAACACCAAAGAUAAACCUCUUCCUAACUCCACAUCUCUGUGAAUGUGAUCGCCCUAACAUGAAUGCAAAGCACCAAUCCAUACCCCUACAUGAAUGCGAUCCCCUAACUGCAAACACAAUGAAAAAAAUUUGUUCGGCCAAAAUCCUUCUGCAUGAUCACAAAGCACUGCAAUACACCAGCCCAUCAAAUGCUUCAAACUCAACCAAAUUGGCCCAAAAACCACCCUCACUAGACACAUGAGCCCCCGAGACCCUAUCCAAUAUUACCAAUAAGUCCAAAUACCUUAUUCUAAUGAUCUAGCAGGUCGUUUUAUAUAUUUUAGCCCAUGUUUCCUCUAUGAUGCUCCCCAAAUGUUGUUUUUUUUUUUGGCUUGCAGGGACGGUUAGUUUGGUUUCGGGAAUGUCUUAGAGUGAAUUGAGGCACUUAGUCUCAUUUUGAAAGCUUAAAUUGUAAGAGUUGACCAAGGUUUGACUUUUGUGUAAACAACCUCGAACUGGUAUUUUGAUGGUUCCAAUAGGUUUGUAUGGUAAUUUGACUUAGACUUAUGUUCAUAUUGGGAUUUGAAGGUUCCUAGAAUGUUAUUUUUCUGAAAUUUGAAAAUUUAAAAGUUUCGAGAGGUCCUAAGUUUUAUUCGGAGUUGGCUUUGAUGAUAUCAGACUCAGAUUGUUAUUUUGGAACUUGGAAUAGGUUUAUUUUUUCAAUUUGGAACUUUUGUACAAAGUCUGAAUGUAUUCCAAAUUAGUUAGGCUUGAAUCGGAGGCUUGGUUAUAAGUUGGAAUGUUUGAAACUUAAGAGAAGGAUUAAGAUCAUCAAUUCUUGUUUUUAUGUUAUUUGUGAUGUUUUGAGCCCUUGGAUAGAUUUGUAUUAGGUAUACGGACUUUCUGGUAUGUGUGGACGGGGUUCCGAGGGGGUCAGAUGUUUUUUGCGGUGGUUUCCGACCAUUUCCCUUUCAUUUAUAGCUGUUGAUUUUGUUGGUGUCUAUGUUCAUCGCAUUCAUGAGACGAGCCUCACGUUUGUGAUGCAAGAUUUGGUGUUGGGGAGGAUUCCCAACAUUUGCACCUAGGUGUCCGUGUUCGUGAAAGGUUGUUGUGGUUCUUUGAGUUCGCGCCAGUAGAGUCGCGUUCACUGUGCAUAGAGGGAGCUGGGGGCACAGAACUUCGCAUUCGUGAGGUGAUGGUCGAGUUCGCAGAAGGCUGGGUUAUUUGGACUUCGUGUUUGAGAUGUAUUUGUUACGUUCGUGGAGUGCAUUUUGAGGCUUUGGUUGUUUGUGCUUCGCGAAUGCGAGGCAAUGACCGCAUUUGAAGGGUAUCGCUGGGCAGAACACUUUAGUGUUAUAUUCCGUGACUUAGUCCAUUCUAUCAUAUUUUGAACCCUACACGUGGAGAGGGGUGAUUGUUUGAAGUAGAUCUUCACACGAGGCAAGAGUGUAAGUGAUUUCUACUUGAUUUUUAUAAUAUAUCUUGUUUUCUCAUGGAUUAUUACAUAUAGAUUAUGGAAUUUAAAAGAGAAAUUUGGAGUUUUUGACUGUAAUUUUAGAGUGUAAAUUGGGGAUUUGGGAGUCGAUUUGGACUCUAUUUUGGAAUCUAAUCGCAUAUAUGGACUCGUGAGGUUAUGGUAAGUGGGGAUCUACCCUCUAACUCUGGUUUUGACUGUGUGGGCUUGGGUUGACUUUUGGAGAUUUGAUUGAAGAUUCGAACUUUAUUGUUUGGAAUUGAUAUUUAUGGCUUUGUUUGAUGUUAUUGGGUUGUAUUAGACAAGAUUCGAGUCUUUUAAAGAUGGAUUUCAAUGAUUUGGCGAGUUUUGUUUGAAUUAUAGCUACUUCUCCUGGCUAACCUUGGAAAGAGGGAAAUCACCUUAGGAUUGACUUUAUUACUAUGUGAUUAAGGUAUCUAGGGUGGUGUAUAUGUGGGUUGGCGAGCGCAUAUGCACGUACCAAGUUUAUAUUAUGUAUGGGGUAGAUUUGAGUUAUUUUAUGCUUUGUUUUGAUUAUGUGCUCAUCUUGGUUCAUGAUUUGUUUGGCCUUUAUGACUACAUUUCUCUUUUAUUCAUUCGAGAGAUCAUGCCUAGGUUUAUGAUUAUUUAUGAAGGCAUGGGAGUUUAUUCUCGAUAUGUUAAAUUGUUUGAAUCAUCCAUAGUUAUAUAGAAAUUUCCAUGAGCACAUAUCCAUAUGAUUAUUAGGUCCAUGUGCAUCUUUUAUCUCUAACUCUUGGACAUAUGCAUGCGUAUUAUAUUGGAUACUUGAUUUGGACUAAGAUUGUGGCAUGAGAGGUAAGGUCGUGUAGAUAAAUACAAUUAUGGCACACAAGACGGGAUGAAUGGAUAUUUGAUUAUGAGUGAGCUAUCAAGCUCCUUUUUGCGCUUGGAUAAGGAUCCAUCCCUCCGGAGUCAGGUGAUAACCCAUGAUACUUUGGGCCAUGUGAUCAUGGUCGAUACAUGGAUCGUGUAUCGGGUCGAUGCAUGGAUUUUGUAUUAGGUUUCAGUGAUACAUGGAUUUCGUAUCGGGUUUGGCGAUACAUGUAUUGUGUAUCGUGGUACAAGGAUUUUGUACCAGUUAUGGUGGUUGUUAGAGUCUUGAGCAUGCAUAGACAUCCCUGACGCAUUUAGAAGUAUUCAUUUAAAUGAUAACUGUCGCAUUUCACCUAUAUGUGCUAGUUGGGAGCCUCGUCUUUGUUGAUUUAAAGCAUUCCAUCAUUAAAUGUCGCAUUUGAGUAGCAUUAUGAUAUCUCUUGAAUUGGAAAAGCAUUCCUUAUGCUUUUCGAUUGUUUUACAUCUUUGAUUCCUGUUGUUCAUGAGAUGAUUUACUAUUUCAGUUCUAAAACUUUGUUAUAUAUAUUUGUGUUGCAAGUAUCAUGAUGCAUGUAGCUUCUCCAGUACUUCUUCGAGGUCAGACUUGAUACUUCCUCGGGUGGGUUCUAGCGGAGCCUCUAAAUGAUCCUAGGCAAUCGCGCAUAGACUUAGGGUGAUCACGACUUAGGGUCGUGCAAGUCCUUGUCUUUUAUUAGUUCCUGUCUAUUUUUUUAUCUCAAACAGUGUUGAUCAUGUAUUCAGAUAUGUACUUAUUCAGUAGUAGCUCAUGUACUUGUAUCACCCAGUCUUUGGGGGUUGUACUAUUUUGGUUGUGCUGAGCCCAUGGUAUGAUUGUAUCAGAUAUUAUGAUGUUCCAAGACUAUUUUUGUUUUUAUUUAUGUUAUGACUCAACUAAUUAAAGAAUCUUGACUAUUUUGUAUUGACUGUCACUUGGCUUGCUUAGCAAGUACGGCUAUGCGCCAUCACGACCUAAGGUGUGAUUUUCGGUCAUGACAAGUUAGUAUCAGAGUACUAGGUUGCUUAGGUCUCACGAGUCACGAGCAAGCCUAUUAGAAUUUUGUCAAUCGGUAAGGAGAUGUCCAUACGUAUCUUCAAGAGGCUACAUGGUUGUAAGGAAAACUUCUCUUUCUUUCACUGUCUAUCAUGUGGAAUUGUUUAUGUCAAAGUUUGAAUAUUUUCCUUUCUAUUCUCUCAUAGAUAUUGAGGACAUAAUCAUUUGGUACAGUUGAGCAAGCGCCGAUACCCUAGGCUAAGGCUGCGGGAGGCCGAGGUCGAGGCAGAUUUAGGGGUGGAGCAUGCGCCGUAGUUAGGGGCCCUGCUCGAGCAGCCAUAGUGGAUCCACUAGUAGCUCCCAUUGAGGAUCAAAUUUCGGAUUAUGUUGAGCUAGUUGGACUAGCUCAUGUCCUAGAGCGGUUUAUGUUACAUCCGGUACUUUUGUACAUUGGAUUUUUCGUAGGUUAAUUGGCAUAGGUUCAAGGACAAGACUAUUUUUGAGGUUAUAAGUAUUUAUGCUAUUUAUAAUAAGUGAUAAGUCGUGAAGGUUAGAGGGUAAAUGAAUAAAAGAAAAUGAGUUUCGUCGAAGUUUGUCAUUUUGGGAUGAAAAAAUGGUCCAAGCUAAAAUACCCCGUAUUUAUGGACUAGUGCAAUACAAUAUACCAUGUGACCAUGAUAGUAAGGUAUAUAAAGUAUGUUAAAAGUGAUUAGUAUUUAAAUGAAAUGAGAUUUAGAAAUUAAUUGUGUGUGUAAUUAGGUAAGUGGGAAAUUGUAGUGGAAGACUAAUUAAAUUGAAUUAUUUAAUAAUUGGUGUAGUGGAUAACAUUCCACAUGUCACAUGGCGGCAGCAACAUUAGUGACUAAUCUACACCCAUAAGUGUUGUUGGCACUAUUAAACUCAAUGUCUCAAGAGAAGCUAAGGAGGACAUGUAUAAAUGGAAAUAUUACAAUUAUGUCUCUUGUUUCACUUGAUUUGAGAAUGAAAUUGAAGAAUAGAUAGGUUCAACAUAGUGUAGCAGCAAAGAACGUUAAUUUGAGAUGAUUUUCUGCAACAUGAGCUAAAAAUUUCAUGAAAGCAAAGUGUAAUCUUUCUCAAAGACAAUAUACGGGUUUUGUGCACCGCCUCGAUCUCGUUGUUCCGUUUUGGCGCGUUGGUUAAUUUGGGCUUUCUUUGAUGUGAAGUAAAGUGGAAUAAGAGUAUUUCCUGGCAAAUAUGGUAAGAAUUUUCCUCUUCUUAGUAUAUAUAAAUUCAUCUAGGUCAUGGCUAAAUUGUGGGAUGAGAAUUAUGGAGUUAAUAGCGAGAAAUCAUAUUCUGACGUUGUUAUUGUAUCGACUAUUCGGUAAUUUUAUAAGUUGUAUUGUUGCUGAAAAUUGUGGGAGUAACUUGAGUAUAUAGUUGUGUAGUCAUUGAUAUGUGUUUUGUAGGAAAGAAAAGAUUGGAGAAGUAUGGCUGAUAAUCGUAGCUGAGCUUUUCGCUCGUUGUAUUAUUGUUUGGGUUGUAAAACUUGAUAUAGGUGUUGUUGGUUGUGUUGUUAUAUUACCUAGCCUAUGGUAGGCUUGAGGGAAUGAUACGAACAAGGAAAAUACAGUCCAUUUCAUUGUAGUAUAGGUUAUCUUCCGUUAUGCAAUUAAGAGAAUUGUUCAUAUUAUUGACAAUAGUAUUAUUCUUGAAGUGGAUAUGAGUUGAGCUCUUGAACCAGUGGGUUAAGACAAGGUAUGUUAAGGCUAAUCCUUCCUUCUUUUGGCAUGAUCCUAGUAAUGAUACGUAAAUGUAAUGUUAUUCUAUAAAUGGUUCUACUCUUAGUAGUUAAGGAUGUCUACGUUAUUCAUUCUUGUAAAAUGUAUUUUAAAGCAUGUCUAAGUAUGUUCCUAAGUCCCUAUUGAGGCAUACGAUAAAGAUGUUAAUGUUCAAAAUGUAGUGUUAUAUGGAUCUUCAUUUACCAUCAUGCUACGGCCGGUCAAGCAGUCAUGCAUUUACCACCGAGCUACGGCCGGUCGGGCAGUCAUGCAUUUACCAUCGAGCUACGGCCAGUUGGGCAGUCAUACAUUUACCACCGUGCUACGGCCAGUCAGGCAGUCAUGCAUUUACCACUGAGCCUUGGCCGGUUGGGAAUUUAUGCAUUUACCACCGUGCUACGGCCGGUCGGGCAGUCAUGCAUUUACCACCGUACUACGGCCGGUCGGGCAGUUACCACCAAUUGGGAAGUUAUAAUUUACCACCGAGCUACGGCCGGUCGGGAAGUUACCACUGAUAAGUUGGGCAGUCAUGUUACGAUAUGGAAUAUAGUCCCAAAGAGAGGCAUUAUAUAUAUAAGUAUAAUUAGUAUGCAUAUACGAUGGCACUUUAAAGGUUCAGGUUGAUUCUUAUAUCUCUUUCAUUAAUGUUGACUUAUUGUUAUUUUUCAAGUUUGCCUUACAUACUCGGUACAUUAUUCGUACUGACGUCCUUUUUGUUGUAGACGUUGCAUUCAUGCCUGCAGGUGCAGGAAAUCAGUUUAACGAGCCUUCAUAGUAGACGAGGUUAUCAUUCAGUGAAAGACCGGUAAGACUCCACUUCAUUCGGAGUGCAGCCGAGUCUAUAAGUCAUCAUGUCAGAGUUUUACUGCAGACUUAUGGGUAGGUCAGGGCCCUGUCCCGUUUGAUGUCAAAUACACUUAGAGGAUUUGUAGACUUUGGUUCAUUAUGUACGUAGGCCUUCACGUCCCGUGUGUAUUCAUGGUUUAAGUACGAUGGUUAGCUGAUACAGUGUUUGCCCACUUACAAUUAUGCAUUACGAGUUGGGGCCAUGUUGGCCCAUGAUGGUUAUAGAAAGAAUGAGUUAACCCAACAUGACCUAUGUAUGUUCUUGUUUUGGUCGAACGAUCAUGGGUUACAGAGUGGUUCGCUCGGGAAAGUAAGGCACCAGGUGCCGGUUUAUUACUACACCAGUACUUCAGGAUGCUCUUAUUAGUCUGGUUGAACUAAUAGAGGGUUUGACACAUGCUUGGGUACUUCCUGUGGCACCAGCUACUUAUCAGGCCGGGGAGUAGCACAGACCCUGCUACUCACACUCCACAUUAGGUUGUUGCUGUGUAUCAAACAUCAAAAGUAGUACUGAUUGGGGGACACCCUCUUGUGGUUUCUAUUAGGCUAGCAAUAGAGCCUGUUAUGACUAAGGAGGAGCAUAAGAUGUUUGAUCGUUGCACGGAGAUGGGUCCUCCACAGUUUGAUGGUGAUCCUUUGGUAGAUGCACAUAAUUUCUAAGAUGGUGGAGAUUCUGCAGAAUCUAUGCUUGGUUGAGUCGAAUAGGGUCAAUUUCACAACUUUUUAGCUCAAAAGGCCAGCCAAGAGGCUAUGGCAGUCAUAUGAGCGUAGCAGCCUAGCAGGGUCACUUCCACUCAGUUGGGAUCAGUUUUCAAAUCUCUUCUUAGAGAAAUUCAUUUACCUCAUAAAGAAGGAUGUGAUGGAUGGUCAGUUUGAGCACCAUCAGCAAGGUCGCAUGUCUAGGAUAGUGUAUGAUAUGAGAUUCACUAAUUUAUCACAUCAUGCAGCUUUUUUGAUCCCUAUCGAGGUUAAGAAUGUGAGGAGGUUCAUUGAGGUAUUGAAUUUUUGUAUCAAGAUCUUUAUGGCUAGGGAGGUGGAUACCGAUACUACAUUUGUUCAGGCUGUGGAUAUAGCACGCAGGAUUGAGCGCAUUCAAGGUCAAAGCAUGGAGGCCAUGGUCAUUAGGGGCAAGAGGGCCCUACAUUCUGGCAGUUUCAGUGGUACGUCGUCUGGAGGUAGGGAUCAUACUAGGAGAGGCCAUUCUAACAGGCCAGAUCCUUUAGCUUAUUAGCCCACUUGUGGCGCUCCAGUUCAGUUUUAGUUCACUGCAUUACCAGCGCAGAGUUUGUGGUGCUCCAAUUCAAUUUUGGUUCACUACAUUACUAGUGCAGAGUUCCUACCAUACUCCUUCGGUCCAGGGUUCUUCUAGUGAGUACUCAGGUUACUGGAGGCAACCUCAUAUUCAGCAGCCAUUCUCAACUCGAGGUUGUUUUGAGUGUGGAGAGGUGGGGCAUAUCAAGAAAGAUUACCCCGUGCAUGGUAGAUGUGCAGCACAACAAGGUUCUAGGACCGUUACUCCAGUACGAGUUAUUACACCAUCAGCCCUACCAGCUAGAGGGGGAGCCCAGGAACCAAGAGGUGGAGGUAGUCGGGUGUUGGUCAUGCCCGCUGUUAUACAAUUCCGGGUAGACCCAAAGUGGAGGGUUCUAAUGCAGUUAUUACAGGUAUUGCUUUAAUCUGUCAUAUAUAUGCAUCAGUUCUAUUUGAUCCUGGUUUUAUAUAUUCCCAUGUGAAAUCAUACUUUGUAUCGCAUUUGGAAUUGCCCCAUAGUUCUCUCGAUAUCCUUGUUCAUGUAUCUAUACCUCUUGCUGACUCUAUUGUGGUGGAUCGAGUGUAUCGGUCUUAUGUGGUUACCAUCAGGGGUUUUGAGACUAGUGUCAAUCUUCUAUUUCUUUCUAUGGUGGACUUUUGUGUGAUUUUAGGUGUGGAUUCAUUUUCUCCAUAUCAUGUUAUUUGUGAUCGUCACACUAAGACCGUGACAUUGGUUAUACCGGGCUUGCCAAGCUUGGAAUGGAGAGGUUCUCUUUGUCAUACUUCUAGUAGAAUAAUUUGAAUUCCGAUGGCUCGGCAGAUGGUUGAGAAGGGUUGUUUGGCAUAUCUGGCCUUUGUUAGGGAUGUUAGUGUUGAUACUCCUAUCAUUGAGUCAGUUUCAGUAGUGAAGGACUUUUCGAAUGUAUUUCCUGCAUAGCCAUCGGGCAUACUACCCGAUAGGGAUACUGAUUUUGGUAUUGAUUUUGUGUCGGGCACUCAGCGCAUAUCUACUCCAUUAUAUCGCAUGGCUCUAGCUAAGUUUAAGGAAUUGAAAAAACAAUUUCAAGUGUUAUUGGAUAAGGGGUUCAUCAAGCCUAGUGUGUCACCUUGGGGUGCACCGGUGUUGUUUGUUAAGAAGAAGAAUGGUUUUAUGAGGAUGUGUAUUGACUAUAGGCAGUUGAAUAAGAUGACCGUCAAUAACAAGUAUCCACUAUUGAUGACUUAUUUGGUCAUCUUCAAGGUGCUAGGGUGUUCUCAAAGAUUGACUUGAGAUCGAGGUACCAUCAGUUCAAGAUCAAGGCUUCGUACAUACCUGAGAUGGCUUUCAUGGCUCGUAAUAGGAAUUAUGAGUUUUUUGUGAUAUCCUUUAGUUGACUAAUGCAUGAGCAACUUUCAUGCAUUUGAUGAACAAUUGCUGUAGUGUUGAAGAGCACGAGCAAAAUUUGAGUAUUAUGCUCCAGAUUCUUAGGAAGAAGAAAUUAUAUGCUAAAUUUUGCAAGUGUGAGGUUUGGUUGGACUCGGUGGCAUUAUAUGCUAAAUUAUGUGAAGAAGAUUGAGGCAGUUCAGAGUUGGCCCAGACCUUCCACCGCUACUGAGAUCUUGAGUUUCUUAGGUUUGGGUGGUUACUAUCGUCUCUUUGUGGAAGGGUUCACAUCUAUUUUAGAUCCAUUAACAAAGUUGACCUAGAAGGGUGCUUUAUUCAGAUGGUCCAAUGAGUGUGAGGAGAGCUUUUAGAAGCUCAAGACUACUUUGACUAUACGGCUCAUGUUUUGGUAUUACCUUCUGGAUCGAGGAUGUACACCAUUUAUCAUGAUGCUUCACGUCUUUGUCUUGGUUGUGUGUUGUUGCAAUAUGAUAAGGUGAUUACCUAUGUGUCGCUCACUAGUUGAAACCUCAUGAGAAAAACUAUCCAGUGCAUGAUUUGGAGUUAGCAUCUAUUCUGCACGCGCAUAUGAUUUGGAGGCAUUACCUGUAUGGUGUGUCUUGUGAGGUUUACACUGAUCAUCAGAGUCUUCACCAUUUGUUCAAGCAAAAGGAUUUGAAUUUGAGGUAGAAGAGGUGGUUGGAUUUGUUGAAGGAUUAUGAUAUCAUUAUCAUGUAUCAUCGGGGGAAGGCUAAUAUGGUAGCAAAUGCCUUGAGCAGAAAGGCGGAGAGUAUGAAGAGUUUUGCAUUUAUCCCAGUUGUAAAGAGACAUUUAUUCCAGCUGUAGAGAGACAUUUGGCUAUGAAUGUUUAGGCUUUGGCUAGUAGAUUCAUUAAAUUGUAUAUUUCUAUGCCUACCAAAGUCAUUGCCUAUGUUGUUUCACAGUCGUCCUUGUUUUAGCGCAUUAAGGCUCGCCAGUAUGAUGAUGCCCAUUUGCUUUUCCUUAAGGAUAUGGUGCGGUGAGGUGGUUCUAAGGAGGUGAGUAUUGGUGUUUGUGUAUUGCGACUUCAGGGUCGAGUGUGUGUUCCCAGUGUCGAUAUCUUGAGAGAGUUGAUUCUUGAGAAGGCUCAUAGGUCACGGUAUUAUAUUCACCCAAGUUCUACGAAGAUGUAUCGUGACUUGAAGAAACAUUAUUGGUUGCGGAGGCUAAAGAAGGAUAUUGUUUGGCAUGUGUCGCGGUGUCUGAAUUGCCAACUAGUCUAGUAGCCAGAUGGCUCUAAAUUAGGAAUUAUAUAGGAGGUGGUGUCGUUCUUCGAUUGGGUGGUUUGAGCCAGGUGAGGCUAGGUUGUUGGGAAUAUAUUUGGUUCAUGAUGCUUUGUAGAAGGUGAAGUUGAUUCAAGAGUGACUUCGUUCACCGCAGUCCAGGAAGAAAAGUUAUGCUGAUAAGAAGGUUCGUGAUGUGGCUUUCAUGGAGGUUGACAGGGUUUUUCUUGUACUUUCUCCUAUGAUAGGUGUGAUGAGAUUUGGGAAGAAGAGCAAGUUGAUCCCUUGGUAUAUUGGUCAUAUUGAGGUGUUAGAGAGGGUUGGUGAGGUGGCCUAUAGAGAUUCCUUACCACCUAGCUUGUCGGGUGUUCAUCGGGUGUUUCAUGUUUCCAUGCUUCGGUAGUAUCACGGGGAUCUGUUACAUAUGAUAAAUUUUAGUUCGAUGCAGUUGGAUGAGAAUUUAGCUUAUGAAGAAGAACCAAUGGCCAUUUUGGAUAGGUAGCUUCGGAGUCGGUAGAAGUUUUGGAAGGUUGUAGUAAUCUAAGGAAAGCAUCACUGAGGUAUGUUCGCUAAACUUCUCUUGUAUAUCCGAAUUCCAUGAUGUUCUCAUAAGUUUCAAGUGUGAUUGGCCCAGGUUCUUAUUUCUCAUGUUACGAGUCAUUCCUAAUAAAUUCCAUUAUUCCAAAUAAGCUGUGUUGAAAUAUGUAUACCCAACAUGUGUUCCAAUUACCCCUGUCAUAUUAUGUUCUUCUUUGGGAAUGUAUUCAAGUAUGACCAAUGUAUCAAAAUGUCAUUAUUUAAAAUCAUGUUUCAAUUGCAAGUUUAUUAUGCCUGAUUUUGGAAGAAAAACUCAAUGUGCUAAGACUCAUAUUGCUCAUAUACAUAAUUAGAGUCUUGAUUUCAACACUUAUUGUUGAUGACCUAUGAUGAUUCUUGAAAGUGAAAGAAGAGAGUAUGAAAUAUAAAAUGUGGCCAUCGUGCCAAGAAUGAAAACUACACUUGUAGCCAAUUGUGCCAAUGAAAUGAAAGGAUGUAUGAAAGAUUAUGAAAUCAGUUUUAACUCCUUUAUAUAAUAAAUGUGUUGGGAGUAUCGUUAGUCACCAAGGAAGGGUAGGUUGAAAUAAUCUAACCCCAAACUUACACGUGUCGGUGUAGGAGUGAUUGAGGGGUAAAUCCCCGUAUUGAUGUGUUGAGAUUAUUCCCCUUAAAUGGGAUGAGAUUGAUGUGUUGAGAUUAUUCCCCUUAACUGGGAUGAGAUGAUUGCUAGCGAAAACUGUGAUGUCGACCCACACGGCAUUGUGGUGAGACAGCUUAGCCGAUCGGGCCAAAAUCGGAUGCCAAGUCGCGCUCAUGUUGGUGUGGUGAUUGGAUAUCGUUCGGUGAGACGGCUUAGCCAAUCGGGCAGAUAUCGGACUCCAUUAUAAAAGCAUGGUAGUGUAUCGGUACUAAAUAUCUCCCAACCUAAAAAUAUUGAUAUUUACUUGAAAACGUAUCUUUCUCUUAACUUGAAGCUUUAAUCUUGUUUGAGGCUCUCAUUGAUUCCAUGUUUCUUACUCCUUGUACUGUUGCUCAUUUCAUUGAGAGGGUUUUUAGUCUUACAUACUAGUACUACUCCAUGUUUCUGGCACCAUCAUAUUACUCUUUUGUAUCCAUUAAAGGCUCUGUAGACAUAGUGUGGGUUGUAUUUUGAUUUGGGUAAGUCAGACUUAAAAUGUUGUACUUGUAACACAUGUAUCCACUUCUAAAACUACGAAUGUGUAAUAUAUUUUGGGAGUUUGUAAUAAAGUAACAAAUGGUAACAAAAUUUGUGUCUUACAUGUCAUCCUCCUAUUGUCUAAUUCAUGAUAUUCACCUUCACUUUAUUCAUGGGUAAAGUCAGGUAGAAGACAUUGAGUAGAUUUGCUUGACUGGGAUAUCUCGAUUGAGCGUCGGUCGCGCUCCCCAAGGUCGGGGCUUGACAAGCUUGGUAUCAGAGCCUAAGGUUUUAAAGUUUCUUAGGAUGUCUCAGAGUUGUGUCUAGUAGAUUCCUUCUUAUCGGUGUGUUGUCGACCACAUCUAUAAUUAGGAGGAUACUUGGGCAUUUAGGAAUGUCACCCUUCUUUGAUGUUCUAGAUCCUGUGAUAGAGCUAAUUGUAAGAUUGUUCCUCUUUUAACUCAUGCACAUUCCUAAUUUCAAGUAUAUGGCACCUAGAAAGAAGGAAAGAAUUGGCCAAAGAGAUGAUGCCACCCCAGGAGUGGCAGUUGAUUCUAUACCUGAUGAAGCGGGUGAGCACCCGAAGGUUGAGGAUAUUCCCCCAACCACAACACUGCUUGCUUCUACUAAUCCAGCUUAGACUGCCCCAAUUCCUAUACAUACUGAGGGUGCAAUGAUUCCUCCACCAACUGAUAUUCAAGUUCCACCUCCACCCUCAACUUCUGGUCCCAGUGUUUCUGGUGGGGACAUUAGGGGAGCCAUACAGAUGUUGGCUCAGAUAGUGGCUUCUAUAACACCCCCGAAAGAAUUUUAAGUGUUUUAAGACCAUUAAGAAGAUUGGCAGGUACUAAUUAUAUUAAUUCGGGUAUGAACAAGAUUAAUAAUAUGAAUUAUAUCAAUUGAUCAUGAUAAUAUAUGUAUGGGGUUCAUUAAGAAUGGUUUAUGGUCUAAGAAGAUCUCCAAGGCUAAGUCAAGUUAGAAAUUAUACGAUGGGGUAAAGUUUCAAGUGAUUUCGCAUAAGACCUAACUUCAAAUGAGCAUAACUCUCACGAUAUGAAGUUUUAUAUUGUUUAUCACCUAUCAAACGAAAGGUCUAUAUGUAUAGUUUCUAAUGCUUCAAACCAUUCGUCAUUUGGAGAUUCCUACAAGACGUUAUGACCUUUUUACAAAAGGGUGACAGAAUAGCUAUGCUAGUCUUGGUAGCCUACGCACCAUAGCAGCAUAGCCUACGCACCAUUGCGUAGGCAAAUCCAGCAACUUACAAUUGAAGGGGAAUGGAAGUCUACCCUGCGUAGCCUUUGUGCAUAGCCUACACAGGAGGCUACCCAGCUUCAAGGGUCAUUUUAAGGAGCUAAAAACAUGGGUUUAGAGAGAAAGUGUGUUAGUUCUUCAUCUUGGAAUGGAUUUCUAGAGAGAAGGAGGAGCUCUUCCACCAUGGAUACACUUCAAGGUAAGUGUUUUUGGCACAGGGAUGAUUAUAUAACAUCAUUUAGUGAUAACACUAACAUAUUAUAGAUCAAAUCCAUAGGAAAUGGGUUGAAGCUUCAAGAACACCAAAAAGAGGAAAAGUGAGAUUCUUCCACCAAGAGGUAAUCCCUUAUCUUGAGAUUCAUAUAUAUGUCAUAUUGGAGUAUGGGUAGAAUGUUUAUGAGUUUUAUUUGAAGUUAUAAUGGGAUAUUGUAUGAACACUAAGGGUGGGUCUUGAGAAUGCCAUUUUUGGGUAAAGAAGAAGAUGAAUAGUGAUGAAUUGAUAUAAAUACAUAUGUCUUGAGUUUCUAAUGAUUCCAAUAGACUUGAUAACUUAAUUGAUGAAUGAAUUUAAUUGGGAAUCACCAUUUGGAUAACAUACAACACUAGUUCUUGAAAUGGAUGUUCUUGAACCUAGAGUUUUGUUGAGAAGGAAAUGAAUAGUGACUUGAUGAUGUUGGGUAAUUAACAUAGUAUUAUUAAUGACACCAAAUGAGUAUUAAAUAAUAAGAAUGAAAUUGAAUAGGCUAAUGGAUGAGCCUAAUGGAUAAUUUGGGAUGGUUGAAGGCUUCCUGCCGAAUUGUGAAGCCUAAAUAGAUAUUUAUGAAUCUUUUCGUAUUUAUUUUGAUGUAGUUGGGAUAUCUAAUGGUAGGUAUUGAAUUGUGGGUGAUAUUUGGACAUUUUAAACAAUUGGAUAAUUGUAGUAUUUUCGGAGUUUGAAGGUUGAGAUUGGAAUUGCUAGGAUUUUUGGAUUUAAGGAAAGCUCAAAUCGAGGUAUUUUGGUAAACUCCUCUCUUAGAAUUGAAUCCCACGGUAUUCAUGUAAUUUAUGUAAGUUCCAAAUGGUUCACUAUAAAAAAUUUGGCUAUUCUGAAUCAGUUGUGUUGAAAGAUAUAUGUUCAAUAUGUAUACCAAAUGCUUUUAUCAUGUUAUAUUAUCAUUUGAGAAUGUGUUCAAAGAAUGAGUUGUGCAUUAAAAAUGUUUCGACUUCAAGCCAAGUCCAAAUGAAGGCUAUUAUGCCAAAUCUUGUGAAAUAUCUCUAUGUGCCUUACUCUUAAGUGCUCACAUGUGUACCAAAAAUGUUGAUUUGAAUUGCCUUGUUGUGGAUGAUGUUUGAAAGUGAAAAGGGUGAGCAUGAAAUACUAAAUACGGCCGACGUGCCAAGAAUGAUUUUAUAUUUGUGGCCAUUAGUGCCAAUGAAAAGAAAAGAUGUGAAAGAAGUAUGAAAUGAGAUGAUUGGUAUAAAAAGGAUGAUGUCUCGAGUGAGACGACUUAGUUGAUCGGGUCGUGAUCGGAUGUCAUGCCGCACACAGGGUGGUGAUUGUGCUGGAAAUUAUAAAUUAAAAUUGUGAUUGUGGUUGAUGGCCUAGCCAAUCGGGUCGUUAUCGGACUCCGUGCUAAAAGUACGGUGGUAUUGGUAUUGUGAAUAUUGGUAUCGUGAAAAUGGCAUAUUGGUAUUAAAGAUCUCCCAACUUAAGAUAUGAAAAUUAAUUUGAACACUGUCUUGAUCCUAAUUUGAGGUUUGAUGUUGUUUGUGGCUUCCAGUGAUAUUAUGAUUGUUAUUCCUUGUAUUAUUUAUCAUUCUAUUGAGAGGGUAUUUUGUCAUUCAUACUAGUACUAUUCCAUAUGUACUAACGUCCCUUUUGCCGGGGGCGCUGCAUCUUCAAUGGAUGCAGGUGGUUCCACAGCAGGAGACAUUGAUCAGUGAUAGCAGUACACUCUCUUCCCAACUGACUUGGUGAGCCCCACUUCAUUUCAGAGUCAUGUAUCUUUUGUUCCUUGUGUAUUUUGUUUGAGGUAUAGUCGGGGCCUUGUUGCCGGCAUUAUCAUAGAAUCUUAUGUAUCUAUUAGAGGCUCCGUAGACAAAGUGUGGGUUGUAUAUUGGUGGUGAGGAAGUCAAACCAUGUUAUGUUGUGUUGGAAUUACUUGUUCCACUCUAGACCAUGAAAAUGUGUGUAAUUGGAGACUUUAAAAUGAAGUAACUUAUGGUAAUGAAUUUGUAUUGUAUUUAUAAGUGAGCUUUGGUAGAAAGUGUCGAACAGGCUUGCUUGACCGGGUUCACUCGGUUGAGCAUCGGUCGCGCUCCCCGAGUUCGGGGCGUGACAAAUAUGGUAUCAGAGUCUAAGGUUUUAAAGUGUCAUAGGAUAUCUCGGAGCCGUGUCUAGUAGAGUCCUUCUUAUCGGUGUGUUGCCGACCACAUCUAUAAUGGGGAGGCUACUUGAACAUUUAGGAAUGAUACCCUUCUUUCAUGUUCUUAAUCGUGCAAUAGAGCUGAUUGUAAGAUUGUUCCUCCUUUAUCUCGUGCGUUGCUCUAAUUUUCUGUACAUGGCAUCUAAGAAGGCAAGAACUGGCUAGAGAGCCAAUGUCGCCCCAGGAGUGGCAUUUGAUCCUAUAUUUGAUGAUGCGGUUGAUCACCCAAGGGGUGAGGAUAUUCCCCCAAUUACUACACUGCCUGAUUCUACUACAAUUGAUCAGACUGCACCUGUCCUUACACCUACUGAGGGUGCAACAGUCCCUCCAACUGAUAUUCCAGUUCCACCUCCAGCUCCAGCUUCUGAUUCUAGUGUUUCUGAUGUUGAUCUUAGGGGAGCCAUACAAAUGUUGGCUCAGAUAGUGGCUUCCCAAUCCUAGAGAUCGAAUGUUGCACCCACUUCUUCCAGUCAGCCAGGGGAUUCUACUAGUUCGAGGUUGAACAGGUUUCUUUAGUUAGAUCCUCCAGUUUUCACGGGUACUAACCCAGAGGAGGACCCCCAGGACUUCAUUGAUGAGAUGCACAAAACUCUCUGAGUUAUGUGUGCUACUGAGACAGAGGAAGUGGAGUUAGCCUCAUACUGCCUGAAAGAGGUGGAAUAUUCUUGGUUUGAGCUCUAGGAGGAGUCCCAUGAAGAAGGGAGCCCUCCGGCGAGGUUGGGUGAGUUUGUCGAUGCCUUUAUUGAUCAUUUAUUGCAUGCCGAGACUAAGGCAGUACGUGUCGCUGAGUUUGAGAACCUGAGGCAAGGUAUCCUGAGUGUGUGGGAAUACCAUAUGUGAUUUGCGCACUUGUCCAAGUAUGCUUACAUGUUUCCCACUAUGGAGGCUAGAGUGCACCGGUUUGUGCAGGGCCUAAAUCCAUUAGUAAUUAAUGAGGCCUCUAAUCUACCUUGAAUUCUGAUAUGAACUAUGGGAAGAUGGUGGCAUUUUCUCAAGCAACAGAAACCCGCAAAUUGUAGAACAGGAUGGAGCGAGAGGGUAGCAAUAAGGCCCGGUCUACGGGCAACUUUGGCGGUUCUUUUGGUGGCGGCAGGUCAAUGUUCAGGGGAGGGUCUUCAGGGACAUCUCAGUCCUUAGAAUUCAGAAGCUUCCUUAGAUGUUGUCACAUGUAUAUUGACUGUCUAAUCUCAUAAUGUGUAUGAUCUUACUGAUCCUGGUUCCACUUUGUCAUAUGUCACUCCAUAUGUUGCUAUGGAAUUUGGGAUAGAACCGAAACAGCUUCAUGAGCCAUUCUCUAUAUCUACUCUGGUUGGUGAGUCUAUUUUGGAUGCGCGGGUUUAUUGGGAAUGUGGUGUCACGUUGCUUGGUUGGAACACCAUGGACGAUCUCAUUGAAUUGAGGAUGGUCGAUUUUGAUAUAAUAAUGGGGAUGGACUGGCUUUAUUCAUGUUUUUCCAAGCUUGAUUGCGAACUAGGACCGUUAGGUUCGAAUUUCCAAAUGAGCCAGUUAUUGAGUGGAAGGGGGGUGAUGUGGUGCCAAAGGGUAGGUUUAUUUCUUACCUUAAGGCCACAAAGAUGAUCAACAAAGGGUGUGUUUACCAUUUGGUUUAUGUUACGGACAUCGAUGUUGAGGCACCGAAACAUGAGUUAGUGCCUGUUGUGAAUAAAUUUUCGGGAGUCUUUCUGAAUGAGCUCCCUGGUAUACCACCAGACAGGGACAUUGAUAUUUAGAUUGAUGUGAUGCCAGACACGUAGCCUAUAUCUAUUCCACCCCACAUAAUGACACCGGAAGAAUUGAAGGAACUAAAGGAACAAUUGAAUGAUUUUUUACAAAAGGGUUUUAUCCGGCAGAGUGUGUCGCCUAGGGGCGCACCGGUUCUCUUUGUAAGGAAGAAAGAUGGGUCACUACGAAUGUGUAUCGACUAUCAGCAGCUCAACAAGGUCACAAUCAAUAAUAAGUACCCACUGCCAAGGAUAGAUGAUUUAUUUGACCAAUUGCAGGGUGCUAAGUACUUCUCCAAAAUUGAUUUACGAUCCAGGUAUCACCAAUUAAAAAUCAGGGAGCAGGAUGUUCCGAAAAUAGCUUUUAGAACCCGAUAUGGGAACUUUGAAUUUUUGGUGAUGUCUUUAUGGCUAACGAAUGCCCCGUCGGCAUUCACGGAUCUUAUAAACCGAGUAUUCAAGUAUUUUCUCGACUCUUUAGUGAUAGUGUUUAUUGACGAUAUACUUGUAUAUUCAUGCAAUCGAGAGGACCAUGCCGAUCAUCUCAGGGUAGUUUCGCAAACCCUAUAUCAGCACAAGUUAUAUGCAAAGUUUUCAAAGUAUGAAUUUUGGCUUGAAUCUAUCACAUUCUUGGGUCAUGUCUUCUCUAGUGAAGGAAUUAAGGUUGAUCCUCAGAAAAUAGCAGCUGUGAAGAAUUGGCCGAGGCCUACAACUCUAAUAGAGAUUCGCAGUUUCUUAGUCUUAGCUGGGUAUUACAGAAAGUUUGUGGAGGGGUUCUCUACUCUUGCCUCUUCGUUGACUAAAUUGAUGCAGAAGACGGUUAAUUUCCAAUGGUCAAAUGCUUGUGAAAGGAGCUUUCAGGAGUUGAAAUUGAGAUUGACUAUUGUACCAGUGUUGACCCUACCAGAGGGUACAAAUGGGUUUGUAGUAUAUUGUGAUGCUUCGAGAAUCGGACUUGGGUGUGUAUUAAUGCAACAUGGCAAGGUGAUAGCUUAUGCUUCUAGGCAACUCAAGAAUCAUGAAAAGAACCAUCCAACACAUGAUUUAGAACUUGCGGCGGUGGUGUUUGCAUUGAAAAUUUGGCGUCAUUAUUUAUUUGGUGUCCAUGUGGAUAUAUUCACGGACCAUAAAAGCCUUCAAUAUAUUUUCAAGCAGAAGGAAUUGAAUCUGAGGUAGAGAAUAUGGCUUGAGUUACUCAAGGACUAUGGCAUUGAUAUUAUAUAUCAUCCAGGGAAGGCUAAUGUUGUAGCGGAUUCUCUUAGCCGGAAAUCUAUGGGUAGUUUAGCACACUUGGAGGCAUAUCAAAGGCCAUUGGCCAAGGAAGUUCGCCGAUUGGCUAGUUUGGGAGUUCGUCUUGUGGACUCUAGUGAAGGAGCGAUGAUUGUGCAAAAUAGGGCUGAAUUAUCACUUGUUGUGGAAGUUAAGGAGAAGCAAUACAACGAUCCAUUGUUGGCACAAUUGAAAGAGGGGAUUCAUAAACAUAAAACCAUGGCCUUUUCUCUUGGCAUGGGUGAUGGUACACUAAGGUACCAAGGGUGUCUAUGUGUUCCAAAUGUAGAUGGUCUUCGGGAGAGAAUCAUGACCGAGGCUCACACCUCUAGGUAUUCUGUGUACCCGGGCUCUACAAAAAUGUAUCAUGAUCUUAAGGAAGUCUAUUGGUGUAAUGAUAUGAAGAGGAAUGUAGCGGACUUUGUGGCGAUAAGCCAAAUUGUCAACAAGUGAAGGCCGAAGAUUAAAGACCAUGUGGGUUGGCACAGAANNNNNNNNNNNNNNNNUACCUCGCACUCCUCGUAAGAUUGACUCGAUUUGGGUGAUUGUGGAUCGACUCACGAAAUUAGCGUACUUCUUACCUGUUACGGCUAACGAUAUAACGGAACAGUAUGCUCAGUUGUAUAUCAAGGAAAUCAUCAAACUGCAUGGCACUCCAGUUUCUAUUAUUUCUGAUCGGUGGGCACAGUUCACGACUAAUUUUAGGAAGAAAUUUCAGCAAGGUCUGGGUAGUCAGGUGAAUCUUAGUACAGCCUUUCACCCGCCGACUGACAGGUAGGCAGAGCGGACUAUUCAGAUGCUUGAGGAUAUGUUUCGUGCUUGUGUUCUUAACUUCAAAGGUAGCUGGAAUGAUCAUUUGCCACUCAUAGAAUUUGCCUACAACAAUAUUUAUCAUGCUAGCAUUUAGAUGGAACCGUUCAAGGCUUUAUAUGGUAGGAGAUGUAGAUAUCCCAUUGGGUGGUUCAAAAUUAGGGAAGCAGAGUUGAUAGGGCCAGACCUCGUGCAUCAGGCUAUGGAAAAAAUUAAAAUCAUUAAGGAGCGGUUGAAGACUACACAGAGUCGUCAGAAGUCAUUCGGAUGUUCGUCGUAGGGAUUUGGAGUUCAAGGAAAAUGAUUGGGUAUUAUUGAAGGUUUCCCACAUGAAGGGUGUAAUGACAUUUGGUGAGGAAGGGAAAUUGAUUCUGGGGUAUGUCGGACAGUACAGAAUCAUUCAAAGGAUUGGUGAGGUGGCAUACAAGCUUGAGCUACCACCUAAGAUAUCAUUAGUGCACCCGGUAUUUCAUGUGUCUAUGUUGAAGAAAGCAGUUGGAGACCUGACAUUCAUUGUUCCGGUUGAGACUAUUGAGGUUAAUGAGGAAUUGACUUAUGAAGAGAUUCCAGUUUCUAUUAUUGAUUGGAAAGUUCAAAAGUUGAGAAAUAAAGAAAUUGCCUCCGUGAAAGUGUUAUGGCGAAACCAGCAGGUUGAAGAGGCCACUUGGGAUGCCGAGGAAGAAAUGAAGAAGAAGUACCCUCAUUUAUUUGAAUAGCCAUGUAUUUAUAAAGUUGUGUUCUAUGAAAAUGCUAAGAGUUACCUUUUAUGAAUUAUGUAUCAACUGUAUAGCUGAUGUUAAAGGUGGUCCUUUUUGGUAGUAUACUGCUCGUGAGGCCACAGUUGGCAUUGUUUUAAUGUUAUGUUGUAUCGUUGGUUCAUGUAUAUGUUGUUAGGACUGGUUUUGGUGAUUCUCUGGCAGGUAGUUAGACCCAAUUGCAGAGGACACUCUGCCAAAAUGUCUGAACAAUUUGGGAGUUUGCCAAAUUUUGGGGCCUUGAGGAAGUUGAAAUGUUGGAAGAACAUCUAAGUUCUAUAUGAAGUCAAGAACGAUUAAAGAUGAUGGUUAAGGUGAAAUGAGGAUAAUAUUAUGCCUAAUAAUGACUUGUAAAACAUUCGAGAAUGAAUGUUCUUAAGUGGGUGAGAAUUUAACACCCCGAAAAAUUACGAAAUGUUUUAAGACUAUUAAGAAGAUUGGCAGGUACUAAUUAUAUUAAUUCGGGUAUGAACAGGACUAAUAAUAUGAAUGAUAUUAAUUGAUCAUGAUAAUAUAUGUAUAAGGUGCAUUAAGAAUGGUUUUUGGUCUAAGAAGAGCCCCAAGGCUAAGUCAAGUUGGAAAUUACACGAUGGGGUAAAGUUUCAAGUGAGUUCGCAUAAGACCUAACUUUAAACGAGCAUAACUCUCACGAUAUGAAGUUUAAUAUUGUUUAUCACCUAUCAGACGAAAGGUCUAUGUAUUUAGUUUCUAAUGCUUCAAACCGUUCGUCAUUUGGAGAUUCCUACAAGACGUUAUGACCUUUUUACUAAAGGGUGACAAAACAGCUACGCUAGUCUUGGUAGCCUACGCACCAUAGCAGUGUAGCCUAUGCACCAUAGCAGCAUAGCCUACGCACCAUUGCGUAGGCAAAUCCAGCAACUUACAAUUGAAGAGGAAUAGAAGUCCACCAUGCGUAGCCUUUGUGCGUAGCCUACGCAGGAGGCUACCCAGCUUCAAGGGUCAUUUUAAGGAGCUGAAAAUGAGGGUUUUGAGAGAGAGUGUGUUAGUUCUUCAUCUUGGAAUGGAUUUCUAGAGAGAAGGAGAAGCUCCUCCACCAUGGAUACACUAACAUAUUAUGGAUCAAAUCCAUAGGAAAUGGGUUGAAGCUUCAAGAACACCAAAAAGAGAAAAAGUGAGAUUUUUCCACCAAGAGGUAAUCCCUUCUCUUGAGCUUCAUAUAUAUGUCAUAUUGGAGUAUGGGUAGAAUGUUUAUGAGUUUUAUUUGAAGUUAUAAUGGGAUAUUGUAUGUACCCUAAGGGUAGUUCUUGAGAAUGCCAUUUUUGGGUAAAGAAGAAGAUGAAUAGUGAUGAAUUGAUAUAAAUACAUAUGUCUUGAGUUUCUAAUGAUUCCAAUAGACUUGAUAACUUAAUUGAUGUACGAAUUUAAUUGGGAAUCACCAUUUGGAUAGGAUACAACACUAGUUCUUGAAAUGGAUGUUCUUGAACCUAGAGUUUGGUUGAGAAGGCAAUGAAUAGUGACUUGAUGAUGUUGGGUAAUUAACAUAGUAUUAUUAAUGACUCCAAAUGAGUAUUAAAUGACAAUAAUUAAAUUGAAUAGGCUAACGGAUGAGCCUACUGGAUAAUUUGGGAUGGUUGAAGGCUUGUUGCCGAAUUGUGAAGCCUAAAUAGAUAUUUAUGAAUCUUUUCAUAUUUAUUUUGAUAUAGUUGGGAUAUCUAAUGGUAGCAACAAACAUUUCAUACCCGUAGAAGACAUCAACCUCAAGCCAUUGUCAAAACCAUCAUAAACUCUUCGAAACCCAUUUGCCUAUAACCAGGCCAUCAUAACUGAAUCCCUCUAAAUCAUCCUAGUCAUACAGACUGCCAAAUCCAAAAGUCUUGCCACAAAAACACCUACAAGGCCCCCGCGAUCGCGAUGAACAAAUUCCAUUAACACUUCCCAAACUCUUCUAGAUAGCCUGUAGUAUAUCAGCCAUUACUUUUUAUACAAAACUUCAAAUGACAAACGGUUUUAUUUACUUAAAAGUAGUAAAAAAGAGCUACAACUUACUUUUUUGGAUCACGUCCAAAUUCUUUAUGGAUUGCAAGAUAUAAGCUUCCAAAUUCAGAACUGUGACAGUAGAAAUUCCUCUAUGCGAUCGCGAGAGAGGCUACCGCGAUCGCGAUUCACAAGGCCCAAACAGCAAUUUGCUCUUCGGGAACGCGAGCCAAAGGUCCACGAUCACGAUUCACACCCAGUAGCCAAAACCCAGCAACUAAAAAUGGCCUAGAAAUGGUCUGAAAUCACCCAGAAACUCACUCGAGCCCCUCGGGACCCCGUCUGAACAUACCAACAAGUCUCAAAACAUAACACAGACCUACUCGAGGCCUCUAAUCACACAUAAUAACAUCAAAACCACGAGUCUCACCUCAAAUAAACUUUAUGAACUUUUGAAUUUUCAACUUCCAAAACUCUUGCCAAACCAUAUCAAAUCAUAUCAGAAUGACCUCAAAAUUUGCAUACAAGUUUCAAAUGACAUAACGAGCCUAUUCCAACUUCCGAAACAAUAAUUCGAAUCUGAUAUCAUCAAAGUCAACUCCCAAUCAAACCUAUGAACUUUCCAAACCAUCAAAUUGCCAACAUUCUCCAAUUAGCGCCUAAAUAUUUUAGAAAUAUCCAAAUGCAAAUCUGGGCAUACAUCCAAAUCCAAAAUCAUAAUCCAGACCUAACGGAACCAUCAAAACUGUAAUUCGGGGUCAAAUACACAAAAGUAAAAUUGGUCAACUAUUCUAACAUAAUGCUUCUAAGAUGAGAACCAUUCAUCCAAAUUAAUCUUUAAUCACCCAAAAAUCAAAAUCGAAGAUACACACAAGUCAUCAUAAGUCAUACGAUUCUACUCAUGAUCUUAAACCACCGAACUUAGUGAAAAUGCUCAAAACGAUCGAUCGGGUCAUUACAGAACGAUAAUCUACAUCAUACAACUUAUUGGAAUCAAAAUAGAAUCAAUAACUAUAAGUAGCCUUCACUUAGACAAUUUGUCAAACACCUUAGAGUACAUAGAACUCUCAAGUUCCUUAUCAAUAGUAGCUUAACAUCACGACCACAUCUUUUGCCCUACUUAUCUUUCUUAUCAUUUUAGCAACACAACCAACCAAAUUCAGUGAAAAAUACAAAUGAAAAUGUGAAGAAUCCCAUGGUCAAAGGAAAACCAUAUAGUACCCAUAUGAGAACACUUAGAGAGGGUUUGGGAGUGUUUUGGAUCUGGAAAUAGUGAAAAAUACGAAUGAAAAUGGGUUGUAGGUGUUCAUAUAUAUAUAUAUAUAUAUAUAUAUAUAUAUAUAUAUGUGAAUAUUUCCACCAUCUAAAGUGGGACUCAUAGGGAGCUUCUUGCAUAAUCUCGUGAAAAUAUGAAUAUAUAUCUGCUACAUAUCUCUCUACUCCGAUAUUGUAUUGAUGAAUAGUUUAAUGCAUUAGAAACUAGUCUCGUAGAGCUUAAUUUUGGUGGGUGGAUCACCCUAUAACUCCAAUUACAUUGAAAGCAAAUCUCACUGAUAUUAUACCCAAAUUUCAGUAAGAUAAAAAAAAACUUAGUAAGAUUAUGAACGUAUCUUGCGACAACUUUUGCAAAAAAUAAUUUUACAACUUACUUGACUUCAAAUCUUAACAUACGAUUAUUGUAAGAUUCAAAUACCUUAUUACAAGACCUUAUUAUCAUACUAAGCACUCUUAUUCUUAUCCCAAAAGUACGGCUAUGGCAAUCCACUUUUUUUAGAGAACUUCAGUGGAAAGAAUUUCUUUGAUUUGUAUAACCCUGAAUUCUUACAAAACUUACUUAUCACCUCAAUAAACUUCUCUUAACCUUUUGGAGAGAUAUUAAACUCUCUGAGCUUACGUUAGUUAAUUAACGACGCAAUCGACGUCAAAAGUAUGGGGUGUAACACAAUAACUCACUUCAUAAUUAAUAAAAAUUAUUCAAUACAUAAGCAUAUCAAGAGAUUUAACCCAAAAUUUCAUAUUGAAUAUUUCCAUAAACAAAGUUUCAAUACCACCAUGAAUCAGAACUUACAUGAAACCCAAACAUCUUAGGAUAGUCACUGGCAGACACUAGUUCAUGAUCACUCUUCACUGAGUGUUAAGUAGUCUAGGUUAGGCAAUUCAGACUUGAAAAUAAUCUCACAAAGGGUUAUGCUAACAAUGAAUAACAGAAGCAAUCAACUAGAUAAAACAAUGAAGUGAUUUGAUAAUUAAGAAAGGGUCCUAUAUGCAUAGUAUCUACAACAUGAUAUUGAAUAACAAGAAAGAUAGGAAUUUUAACUAUAUUAUCAAAUAACUUAGAUCAACAAUACUCAAUCAAUAGGCCAGGCAGUGUUGCCUCAUUUUAUUAAGGUAUUAUAGACAUGGUUUCCAUAAACAUAAACAAUCAGUAUGAUAAAGAAACAGCAUGCAUGGUUUUAUAAAACAAAAUACAAUUACUAAACAUGUUAGGGGCAGGUAUUCAAGUUUUAUCACAUGUUCUAUAUUCAAGUUAAUAUGAUGAACAUAUACUACUUGCUAACAAGACUUCAAUCUGUCCGGUAUGCUAACAUGAUAGGUCACACGUACUUUCAAUGAAAGACACCAAUUAUCCAAGUAAUAUGGUGUAAGAACCUAAAUGACUAACAACAAAGAACCAGUGUCCAAGCAAAACAUAAACAUAGCAAAUAAGAUUUAAUGGUCACCAAGAGACAUUUGUUGACUAAACAAAACAACAUAAGGGACAAACAUAGCUGAUAAUAGGGGAUAUUAAUUAGUUAAGUAAACAUCAACAUGAGCAUCAAACCACAAUUGAGGGACAUAUGCUGACUAACAGAAUAACAUGAGAGACAGUAGACACACGAUUAAGAGCGAAACAUUCAAUAACUAAGAAGAACCACUAUGCGAAAGCAAUAAACAAAUCUGACUUAUUAAGGUAGAAUCGGGGAUUUACUAACCUUUUUAGGGGCAGCAAACGAGGUAGUUACUAUCAGCCAUUAAGAACCAAUGCUCACAGCCAACUCCAAGCAGUUAAACUCGAACAGAAACGAAAGAGAAAAAAGUAACUUGGACAAACAAACUUAAAGAUUUAAAGAGAAUUCAAGUGUAUUUACUAUCAUUCGAUUAUAUUUUAGUGUGCUGGUGAGGGCAUUAAAGCCCGAUAUUAUUGCCAAGAUUGGAGAUUUAGGGUUUUCAUUUGAAUUUUGAAAUUCAGUUGAAGACAUAGGAUGAUGAUGAAUAUUGAUGAGAUCGUAUGAUGAAAUCAAAGUAAAAAAAUGAGAACUCAGAAAGGGAAACUAGGGUAAGGAUUUUACCUAUCCAAAGAUGACGACCAGACUAGCCAUUUGAGGCCAACGGACCGUGGGACAAAAACAUUGCCCAGAGGUCCCUGCAUUUUACCUCUCGGCCAUCAACCGUCAUGAAGAGGUCACGAUUCUUUCGAAUAUGUGGCUGCAUGCGACACUUUAAUGGUUAUAUGAACAAACUAACAUGGUGAUCAUGAGAUUCUUUGUUUUUUAAAUUUAGGGGUAGGGUUUCAAUGAGUUGAGGCUUGGAAAUGAGAGAUGGAAAUGGAAGUUUUAGCUAGAUUUUGAGUUUAUAAGGGAGAUUAUUGGAGCUAUAGUUGUCUUCCAAUGCUCUAGCAUUGAUUUGUGUUAGUUUCGUGAAUCUUCAUAGGGAAAAGGACGAGGGAAAUAAUGAGAUAAAGGGGAAACUAGGGCGGCUGGUGAGGCUGGAAUGAAUUAGGGUUAGGGGUGUUUGAUGAAUUAAAGGGGUGGGAUAAAUC
This 33271-nucleotide long non-coding RNA is filed under the name Nicotiana tabacum (common tobacco). Its description in RNAcentral is "long non-coding RNA (NTAB_LNC000320)". Lineage: Eukaryota; Viridiplantae; Streptophyta; Magnoliopsida; Solanales; Solanaceae. The record is from RNAcentral.